This is a non-coding RNA of Pongo abelii (Sumatran orangutan), 82 nucleotides long. The record is from Rfam. NCBI's taxonomy places the organism in Eukaryota, Metazoa, Chordata, Mammalia, Primates, Hominidae.
CACAAUGUUACACUGGAGAGCAGGAAGAGCUGUGUUGGGUAUAAGUAACAGACUUUUCUUUUUUUCUAUGUGGCUCUUUGCA